Molecule: ribosomal RNA, 390 nt
Filed under: uncultured bacterium
Lineage: Bacteria
Description: bacterial SSU rRNA
Rfam family: Bacterial small subunit ribosomal RNA
Source: RNAcentral
GACGAACGCUGGCGGCGUGCUUAACACAUGCAAGUCGAGCGGUAAGGCCCUUUCGGGGGUACACGAGCGGCGAACGGGUGAGUAACACGUGGGUGACCUGCCCUUAGCUCUGGGAUAAGCCUGGGAAACUGGGUCUAAUACCGGAUAUGACUCCAUGACGCAUGUUGUGGGGUGGAAAGCCUUGUGCGGCUAGGGAUGGGCCCGCGGCCUAUCAGCUUGUUGGUGGGGUGAUGGCCUACCAAGGCGACGACGGGUAGCCGGCCUGAGAGGGCGACCGGCCACACUGGGACUGAGACACGGCCCAGACUCCUACGGGAGGCAGCAGUGGGGAAUCUUGCGCAAUGGGCGAAAGCCUGACGCAGCGACGCCGCGUGGGGAUGACGGCCUCGG